RNAcentral lists this ribosomal RNA (1352 nucleotides) under Klebsiella quasipneumoniae. RNAcentral's name for it is "bacterial SSU rRNA". It matches the Rfam family "Bacterial small subunit ribosomal RNA", at positions 31 to 1375 of the family's 1533-position model. The record is from RNAcentral. Lineage: Bacteria; Pseudomonadati; Pseudomonadota; Gammaproteobacteria; Enterobacterales; Enterobacteriaceae.
GAACGCUGGCGGCAGGCCUAACACAUGCAAGUCGAGCGGUAGCACAGAGAGCUUGCUCUCGGGUGACGAGCGGCGGACGGGUGAGUAAUGUCUGGGAAACUGCCUGAUGGAGGGGGAUAACUACUGGAAACGGUAGCUAAUACCGCAUAACGUCGCAAGACCAAAGUGGGGGACCUUCGGGCCUCAUGCCAUCAGAUGUGCCCAGAUGGGAUUAGCUAGUAGGUGGGGUAACGGCUCACCUAGGCGACGAUCCCUAGCUGGUCUGAGAGGAUGACCAGCCACACUGGAACUGAGACACGGUCCAGACUCCUACGGGAGGCAGCAGUGGGGAAUAUUGCACAAUGGGCGCAAGCCUGAUGCAGCCAUGCCGCGUGUGUGAAGAAGGCCUUCGGGUUGUAAAGCACUUUCAGCGGGGAGGAAGGCGAUAAGGUUAAUAACCUUGUCGAUUGACGUUACCCGCAGAAGAAGCACCGGCUAACUCCGUGCCAGCAGCCGCGGUAAUACGGAGGGUGCAAGCGUUAAUCGGAAUUACUGGGCGUAAAGCGCACGCAGGCGGUCUGUCAAGUCGGAUGUGAAAUCCCCGGGCUCAACCUGGGAACUGCAUUCGAAACUGGCAGGCUAGAGUCUUGUAGAGGGGGGUAGAAUUCCAGGUGUAGCGGUGAAAUGCGUAGAGAUCUGGAGGAAUACCGGUGGCGAAGGCGGCCCCCUGGACAAAGACUGACGCUCAGGUGCGAAAGCGUGGGGAGCAAACAGGAUUAGAUACCCUGGUAGUCCACGCCGUAAACGAUGUCGAUUUGGAGGUUGUGCCCUUGAGGCGUGGCUUCCGGAGCUAACGCGUUAAAUCGACCGCCUGGGGAGUACGGCCGCAAGGUUAAAACUCAAAUGAAUUGACGGGGGCCCGCACAAGCGGUGGAGCAUGUGGUUUAAUUCGAUGCAACGCGAAGAACCUUACCUGGUCUUGACAUCCACAGAACUUAGCAGAGAUGCUUUGGUGCCUUCGGGAACUGUGAGACAGGUGCUGCAUGGCUGUCGUCAGCUCGUGUUGUGAAAUGUUGGGUUAAGUCCCGCAACGAGCGCAACCCUUAUCCUUUGUUGCCAGCGGUUAGGCCGGGAACUCAAAGGAGACUGCCAGUGAUAAACUGGAGGAAGGUGGGGAUGACGUCAAGUCAUCAUGGCCCUUACGACCAGGGCUACACACGUGCUACAAUGGCAUAUACAAAGAGAAGCGACCUCGCGAGAGCAAGCGGACCUCAUAAAGUAUGUCGUAGUCCGGAUUGGAGUCUGCAACUCGACUCCAUGAAGUCGGAAUCGCUAGUAAUCGUAGAUCAGAAUGCUACGGUGAAUACGUUCCC